This is a non-coding RNA of Chiloscyllium plagiosum (whitespotted bambooshark), 1343 nucleotides long. Lineage: Eukaryota; Metazoa; Chordata; Chondrichthyes; Orectolobiformes; Hemiscylliidae. The record is from RefSeq and is a predicted model, not a curated record.
CACGUUGUGCAGAAUCCUGAGCACUCAGCACCUCAGAUUUGUCCAAUUGUGAAUGAAACUGCCCAAUGACCAGUGUUAAAUAUUUAAUUUCAAUGUUAACAAGACUUCUCUACACAAUGCAAUAACAUUGAAUCCUUAUUUUGGCCACUAUAAUAUAACAUGUGUAAAGUGAAAACUGUUUGUAAACUGCAUCUUUAUUUAAGGAUAAGCCUUUCUAAGCAUGUAUCUAUUCAAAAUCUGGUUGGCUGAUGAACAGAGUUGGUGAACAGAGUUCAAACUGGAAGACACCUGUGACUGGAUAUGGAUUGAUUUAGCUUUUCAGACUUGCUAAGAAUGCAGCAUGCUGGAAUUAUUGCAGAAUUCUGCUUUUACGUCUCCUCAGUGCGAAAAGUUGACGUCCCUGCAAACAACAUAUGUUCAUCCCACCAUUCAAAGAACAUUCCUUCAUCUCGGUCAUCUCCCUCCUCCAAGUCAAUUACCAGCUCCUCAGGAGGUUAGCUCUGAUUCAUUGUGCUCACAUUAAUGUCUAAUGUGGAGCCUUAUCAAAUGUCUGCUGAUACACCAUAUAAACUAGUUCCUGAUCGACUAAUGGUCAUGAGUUUCUGAAAACGUAUUAGUUUGAUACCUUCCAAAUGGCACAACCCAAGGCAGACAGUCUAAUGGGGUCAAUCUAUAUCCUCUAUGGUAUUUCAAUAGUUUUUUUCCCCAGUUUGAUAAACUGGCAGUUAUUCAGUUACUUGUUUCCUCCCUCUCAGUCUUGGUGAAAAAACAUUUGCAGUUUUGCAAUCCCAUUAGCACAAUUCCCGAAUCUGCUGUAAAAUUAUGAUUAACACCUGUAAUUUCUGUUUAAUACCCUCAGCUGAAAACUGUUGGAUCCUGGAGAUGUGUUAAAGUUCUAUUAUCAUCUCCAUUACUUUUUAAGCUAAUAAAUCAAUGGGAGUAAUUGAGUAGAUCUAUUUUUAAGCUGGUAUUUUGUCAUCUUCACUUGUGAAAACAGAUACAACGUAUUCCCUUUGACAAGUUUGCCAUUUCUUUGCUUUAUUACUGUCGCCUGCAGCCUCACUUUAUGGCUCCAUAUUAACAUCCUGUCUCUUUGUAAAAUUGUUUUCUGUUUGCUUUGACAACCUUUGCAAAAAGAAACACACUUUUUAUUGCCUCAAUCUGUUUCUUGCUCUCCCUAUUGCUGAAUUUCCAUUUAUCUCUGCAACCCUGCACUCUUAUCUUGAUAUUCUGUUUGAUUGCUAUGAUUGUUAAUCUGCACAAUGCACCCUUUGUGUGAGGAACACAUGCCAGUUUUGUAAUGUACCAAAUAUCCCUCUCAAUAAAUCUGACCAUUAGGUUUC